This is a long non-coding RNA of Homo sapiens (human), 2533 nucleotides long. Ensembl annotates it as long intergenic non-protein coding RNA 2223. Lineage: Eukaryota; Metazoa; Chordata; Mammalia; Primates; Hominidae. The record is from Ensembl.
AGAGAUGCAUGUUCUCUACAUGCUGGAAGCAGUCAUCCUGUUGCUAAGGAAACAGCCUCACUCAGCAAGGGUCACCUUUGGAAACAACGGCAAGACUUCAAAGCAGAUCAAUAGAGAAAUACCAAGACCUGAACUUCCUAGCAAAUGCUCUCUUCUAUUUUAAAUAUCCUUUUCAACAAAUGUUUGCUUAUGUGAUUUCUGUUUAGUGGGCAGUAGCAAGGCAAAAUUGAAUGUGUAAUAAGUCGAGCCCAGUAUUUUUCAAGCUCUGGCUCUUGGAGAUCUGUGGUUUUUGGUAGAUGCUUUGAGUGUGGGAUUGUGCAGGAACAGCAGGAUGGAGAUGGAUUGAUAUCAGGUUUAAAAAGAGAUGCUGCAUUUAUGGCUUCAUUCGAGGGAAAGGUUCCACUCACUAAAAAAUGUAGAUUCUUUCCUCAUGCAACACACUUCAUUACUCAUGUGUCCACAUUAGUGAGAUUUUUUUAAUUUCUGAAAAUGUCUUGUCAUAUCUUAGGUUUAUGCACAUUUUUGUGUCACUAAAGAAUAUUUCAUUCAUGUAUUCAUUUGUUCAUUCAUUUGUCAAAUAUCUUUGAUUUUCUACUGUUUCAGGUACUCUGGGGAUAAGAAGUGAAUAGAACAUAUUUAAGUUCUGGGGGACUCAAUCUGAAGAAGAAAGCAGAUACGGAAAUAAAACAGUGGAAUCACUUGCAGAGGAAACACAAGGAAAUGCUUAUAAUUUUUUCCUGGGGAGGUGAGGGAAGGCAUUUGGGGAAAGAAAAUGCCCGAUAUUAUCCUUGAAACAUGGAUUAGAACUGAACAGGGAAUCUAGUCCUAGAAGUCCCAAGACAGAGACAACAGCAAAUACUAAGUGCAGAGAGGUACCAUGUGAAGGCCUGGGCAUAUAACAUGAAACAAGAAAGAUAAGGCCCGUGCUUACAUAGAACUUGGUGAAGAAUCUAGACCAUAACAAGCACACAGAGAAAACGUAUCACAAAUUGUGCUAAAGUUCUGUAAAGGGAUUAAGAUGAAGUGUCACAAGACUGAAUUAGACAGAGUGCCCUUGAAAGAGUGCCAAUUUUUAGAAUGGAGGGUGUAGAUCCAUCCUUUGCAACUGGUGAGGACCUCCUCAGUAAGGCACUGAGCCAGGAGUCUAUACAGCCAUGCCAGCAGGGAGCACUGUCUUUCAUUGUCUGAUGUUUAUUGCAAACCUGUUCUUUUCAGCUUUUUGUUGUUUCAGCCUAGUCCAAAGACGUUUACAUCCUGGAAGAGAACUUGCUGGCUUUUCACCUCAGCAUGUAUGGGCCAAACUAAUAUAACAAGAAGUCUUGAGAGGAGUCAGCGGCCAAGCUCCAUGUCUUGCAGCCAAACAAUGCUGUGGGAUGGAAGGUGGGAUGUCAUGUGUCUGGUUUACAGCACUCACGUAUCAGUUGGCAGUUAACGGAAGUGCUACUGAUUGUAACAGUGGAAGCAAUUUGAAAUGAAAUACAACACUUAAAGCAAAUGAAACGGAAGUGAAUGCCAGCAGUAAAUGGCAAGAAGAAAUCCAGUUCAGUGUGUUCCUCAGAAAUCUUGCCUCUUGGGACUAAAUGCUGCAAAUGUAACUCUUAUCCUUGUUUUUCAAGUUUUACCAUCUCAAAGCUAUCCACUUUAUAUUAAAUUAGUUCUGUUAUAUUAUGUCAAUUUGUAUUCUUAAGAGCACAAGUUUGGCCUCAAAUAGACCUGAGCUGAGAUCCAAUUCUUUAAUUUAUCUGUGUUGUUUUCUUUUUCCUUAGCUUUAAAGUGGAAAAAAUGCUACUUACAUUUUAUUUAUGAAGGUUAAAGAUAAAGUGUCUGAUAUGGGACCUAUCAUAUGUGGUAGGCACUUAGUACAUGGUAGCAAUUAUGAUUAUUAUAUCUGAUAUUAGCAUUAUUAUUAUGAUUUGUUUUAAUCUUCAAAGUAUCAACUGUUUCUAUUACAUUUGUGGUAAAUACUCCUAAACAGAGUUUUUAAGUUCAAGUGUCCAAAGUUGUUAGAAACAAAGAUAUUUGACAAUAACAUAAUCAUAUCACAUGACCUCAUGAUUUAACCACCUCCCAAAGUUGCCACCUCCUAAUAUUAUCACCUUGGGGGUGAGGUUUCAACAUAUGAAUUUUAGAGGAACAUAAACAUUCAGACCAUAGCAAUAAUGAAGAUAAAGAGUUUAUUCAUAGAUAAAUGUUAAGAAGUAGAUACUGUUUGUUAGGAGAAGUGUCCACAGUUAGGGAGAAGUUAGAGGUCUGGUGUCAUCUUUGAUUUUUGUGUUUCUUCCGGAACCCUGUUGCCUGGCUUCCUACACUAUUUCUUGUGUCUUUUUCUUGUAGCUAAACUUGAACAUUUUUUCCUUGAGUACCAUUUUACAAUCAACUGUGCUUUUAUGCAGUGGACUUUCACUGAAUGUCCCCUAUUGGAAAUUUUAACAACAAUUUAACAACUAUUUAUUUGAUACUUUCUGUAUAACCAAUAUUAUUGAACAUCCUAGGAACACAUACAUAAAUAAAACUUGAUCUCUGCUUUCAGAAA